GACGAACGCUGGCGGCGUGCUUAACACAUGCAAGUCGAGCGGUAAGGCCCUUUCGGGGGUACGACGAGCGGCGGAACGGGUAGGAGUAACAACGUGGGUGGACCUCGCCCUCCAGCUCUGGGAGUAAGACCCGGGGAAACCGUAGGGUCGUAAUAACCGGAUAUGACUCCAUGACGCAUGUUGUGGGGUGGGAAAGACCUUGUGCGGC
This 208-nucleotide ribosomal RNA is filed under the name uncultured bacterium. RNAcentral describes it as "partial 16S ribosomal RNA". It matches the Rfam family "Bacterial small subunit ribosomal RNA", at positions 28 to 219 of the family's 1533-position model. The record is from RNAcentral.